This 21-nucleotide non-coding RNA is filed under the name Mus musculus (house mouse). Lineage: Eukaryota; Metazoa; Chordata; Mammalia; Rodentia; Muridae. The record is from RNAcentral.
UGGAAAAGCUGCAGUCUUGAG